This is a long non-coding RNA of Fukomys damarensis (Damara mole-rat), 1608 nucleotides long. Lineage: Eukaryota; Metazoa; Chordata; Mammalia; Rodentia; Bathyergidae. The record is from Ensembl.
CGGGAGAACUCAGUGCUUCUGUCAGUAUGUAUGCAGGAAUUUCAGUCUGCAAUCUUGGGUCUGUCUGCCUCUUUCCUCAGUCUCAUGGCAGCUUGGGCCCUACUCUUCUCCUACACUGGGCUGAAUUGUUCCAGAACAACGUUCAUAAACAUCAGACAGGGCCAGGAAAAUAAAACCAGGAAAGGCAGGACACCCCAUAAGGCAGAAUGGCUCUCUUCAAGUCCCAGCUCCCCCAUUUACAAGGCACAUUUCCCUGGGCCUUAGAGUCCUUAUCUGUGAAACAGGAAGGGUAUUGAAAGCUACCACCGGUUCUCAAGUGGAAGAUUACAUCAGUUGUCAGACACAACAUAAAGAAUACAGUGUCAGUCGGUGGAUGACAGGCCAGAUGGGAUGCCAAGCAACAGAAUCUUGCAGGCUCCGCUGACCCCUCUACACUGGGAGAGCAACAGAGGCUCAGAGAGGGCCAGAAACACACCAAGAACUCACAGCAGAGCCUGGCAGAACUGCACGGGGCCCAAGCUGUGCACUUCCAUCCCAGCCCUGGUGUGUGCCAACCUCACGCCGGCCUGUGAGUACUCUUCAGCUCAGCCUGACCCUCCUGUGGGCUCCAGCAAGCCCCAAGGCCUUGAGUGCCUGUGCUUGCUCCACUCUCCCCAGGGCACUUGGGGCCCAUGGCUGGGGCUGCUGGGGCUGGGCCAUGGCGCCAGACCAGUGGGCAGAGAGGCCAGAGGCUCUGUCGCUCCCCGGAGGAGGCAGGCGGCCCCAGGCCCUUCCAGAGGGAAGCUGCAGGUGCAGGCGGGGAGUCUAAUCUGAGCUGCUGUUCCGGUUAAGCGUCUCCAUGUCUUCCAACCGCCCUCUCCUCUCACCUAGGCGUCUGGCCUCCCAGUGCCCGGGAGCCUCCCUGGAGAUAAUGAAUGGUGGUUCCUAUGCUCAGCCUGCAGGCAAGCAAUGCUCAGUAAAUACUACGUCCUCCUCCUUCCCCGGCCUGCAGCGUGGUUAACUUAGGGCCACUGGUGCAGGUGGAGGUGGGGAUGGGGUGGCAGCUGUGUGACCUUUUGUGCUCCCUGAGUCCCACCCUGGCCAGGGAUAUUGGGCUGGGACUUGGGUUGCCAGAUUGGAGCCAGGUGCACAGCCCCCACAAAAGGCAGACCCCAAGUACUGUAGCUGCUAAUGCAGACGGUUCUGAUACCCUGAGCUGUCCCUAAGAAGGCUGCUCGAGGUGGGGAGUGACAGCCCUGGCCAGGACCCGGGACAUCAGGGUCAGCUCUGAUCUGAGCUGCUGCGCUCUGUGACAUUGGGCAGGUCACUUCCGGUCCCUGGUCCUCACCAUAUUCCUACCCUACCGAAGGGGAGAGUUACGCCGACUCCUCCCGAUGGUCCCGUCGAGGCUGCGGCCUCCAGCCUUACACAGGAGCUAUGGCCCAAGCCAAAGCUGAACCUCUGCGGGUACUUUUGUUGGUGCACACAGAAACUGUGCCCCAGGCUCCCUGGGCCAGACCCAUAAACCAGGCCCAUAAAGGCCAGCGGUGAGGCAGCUGGACUCCCUCAAAUAAAAAGCAGGUUCCCAGUGGGAUUGAGAAAGGCCAGUUCCAGCAGCUCUGAGACAAA